CAGUCGCCACGGUAAUACAGAGGAUUUAAGCGUUAUCCGGAAUGAUUGGGCGUAAAGCGUCUGUAGGUGGCUUAUCAAGUCCGUCGUCAAAUCCCAGGGCUCAACCCUGGACAGGCGGUGGAAACUACCAAGCUGGAGUACGGUAGGGGCAGAGGGGGAUGGAAUUCCGCGUGUAGCAGUGAAAUGCGUAGAUAUGCGGAGGAACACCAACGGCGAAAGCACUCUGCUGGGCCGACACUGACACUGAGAGAUGAAAGCUAGGGGAGCAAAUGGGAUUAGAGACCCGAGUAGUCCCUGUCUC
Molecule: ribosomal RNA, 301 nt
Filed under: uncultured bacterium
Lineage: Bacteria
Description: partial 16S ribosomal RNA
Rfam family: Bacterial small subunit ribosomal RNA
Source: RNAcentral